ACACUGAAGCCGACAAGGUGAGUUUCCGGUCAUUCAAUUUUGUUCAGCAAACUGAUUUUCUUUUUUUUCCUUUAGUAUCAAAACAUCCAGAAGCUGACUGAGAAAAUUCUCGAGCGAGAGGGACAGUUCCUCCAUUCGCAUAACUCAACUAAUCAUCGCAUCACCGACCCUUCCCGAAGACGAACUUGGUGCCCAUCGACCUCGACAACAAGCGCAAUCAUGCCGCCUCCGCCAAGCAUGCCAGUUCCAGAUUUCACUACAUGUCCUCCUUUUCUUCUCCUGCCCAACGAUGGAGUGCCAGAAAGUCAUGACGCCGAUCGCGAGAUCUUUGUUCCUUCGGAGUUUGUAAAUUUUUCCCGAUCGGAUUUCCCGAUGAACUUCGAAGAACGCAACACUGAUCUGCUAUCGAGCUUAAUUUCGACGCCU
RNAcentral lists this unclassified non-coding RNA (426 nucleotides) under air metagenome. RNAcentral describes it as "partial internal transcribed spacer 1". The record is from RNAcentral.